Branchiostoma floridae (Florida lancelet) is the source of this 698-nucleotide long non-coding RNA. RefSeq lists it as uncharacterized. The record is from RefSeq and is a predicted model, not a curated record. The transcript is spliced from 3 exons. NCBI's taxonomy places the organism in Eukaryota, Metazoa, Chordata, Leptocardii, Amphioxiformes, Branchiostomatidae.
AACAGUAUUACAAGCCCAAGUGAGAAAGAACGUACAAGUAAGAUCCUAUUUAUUUCUAUUACAGCAAAAUCAUGCCCCAAUUGGUGGACUGAAUAUGACGGCAAAUGCUACAAGUUGGAGAAACAAAAAGUCAAGUGGGAACAAGCGAACGCACAGUGCAAACGCUCACGUGCAAAUCUCGCUUCCGUUCUGAAUCCUGGGGAGAACAAAUUCCUGAAAAGACUCGCGUCUACAGCUCCGGAGGGCAAGAUUCCCCUUGUCUGGAUUGGGCUAUCACGUGAAAGCGGUAAAGACUUUAAAUGGUCAGAUGGGUCACCAUCAGUUUCCUUCGCGAAUUGGGCUCCGGGCGAGCCGGGAUGGGGCGAAAAUUGUGUUGGAAUGUACUUCAAGACCGGCAAAAAUUGGAUCUUUGGAAGAAAGAGGAAGAGAGGAGAGUGGAACGACGAACACUGCUGGUCUCACUAUCCUUACGUUUGUAAGCGUCAAAAAUAGAAAAUAAGCACAAAAUGCGACUUUCUGUCAAUAGAUUAAUCAAGCAAUUAGGUUGAACUGAACGUUAGACGUCUUAUUUCUAGUUUUAUUAUGAUAAGGACUACUGUUGACUUCAACACUAAGAAUAAGAAAAGAACAGUUUCUCUCGAUGAAUCAAGAAAGUAGUUUGGAUUGAAAAGCUAGUGGACUUACUACAUUACCUUUUA